CCACCCGUUGUGGUGCUCCCCCGCCAAUUCCUUUAAGUUUCAGCCUUGCGGCCGUACUUCCCAGGUGGCUCGCUUCACGGCUUCCCUACGGCACCGACAACGGUCGCACCGUGGCCGACACCCAGCGAGUAUCGUUUACGGCUAGGACUACCCGGGUAUCUAAUCCGGUUCGUGCCCCUAGCUUUCGUCCCUUGCCGUCAGGUCCGUUCUGGUGAGACGCCUUCGCCACUGGUGGUCCUUCAAGGAUUACAAGAUUUCACCCCUACCCCUGAAGUACCUCUCACCUCUCCCGGCCUCGAGCCGAACAGUAUCUCCUGAAAGCCCAACAGUUGAGCUGCUGGAUUUCUCAAGAGACUUAUCCGGCCGGCUACAGACCCUUUAGACCCAAUAAUAACGGUUACCACUCGAGCCGCCGGUGUUACCGCGGCGGCUGGCACCGGUCUUGCCCGGCCCUUGCUAUGCAAUGCUUUUUAUGCAUCACGACAGCCAGAUUUGUAACCUGGCACUCGAGGUCCCCUUAUCGCC
Molecule: ribosomal RNA, 525 nt
Filed under: uncultured archaeon
Lineage: Archaea
Description: partial 16S ribosomal RNA
Source: RNAcentral